This 3408-nucleotide ribosomal RNA is filed under the name Triticum aestivum (bread wheat). RNAcentral's name for it is "partial small subunit ribosomal RNA". Lineage: Eukaryota; Viridiplantae; Streptophyta; Magnoliopsida; Poales; Poaceae. The record is from RNAcentral.
AUGUCUUCUCUCAGCCGGGAGCUCGUCUUCCUCAUCCUGCAGUUCCUCGAUGAGGAGAAGUUCAAGGAGACCGUCCACAAGCUUGAGCAGGAGUCUGGCUUCUACUUCAACAUGAAGUACUUCGAGGAUGAGGUGAUCAAUGGCAAUUGGGAUGAGGUGGAGCGCUACCUCGGGGGCUUCACCAAAGUCGACGACAACCGCUACUCGAUGAAGAUAUUCUUUGAGAUCCGCAAGCAGAAGUAUCUCGAGGCCCUCGACAAGCAUGAUCGGUCCAAGGCGGUUGAAAUCUUGGUCAAGGACUUGAAGGUGUUUGCAUCCUUUAAUGAGGAGCUGUUUAAGGAGAUCACACAGCUAUUGACUCUGGAGAACUUCAGGGAGAAUGAGCAGCUUUCCAAGUAUGGUGAUACAAAAUCUGCAAGAGCAAUAAUGCUUGUUGAGCUGAAGAAGCUGAUCGAAGCUAACCCCUUAUUCCGUGACAAGCUUCAGUUUCCCAAUCUGAAGAGUUCUAGAUUACGGACACUUAUCAAUCAGAGCUUAAACUGGCAGCACCAGCUUUGCAAAAAUCCCAGGCCUAAUCCUGACAUCAAGACCCUCUUUGUUGAUCAUUCUUGUGGACAACCAAAUGGUGCACGUGCUCCAUCACCAGCAAACAAUCCACUACUUGGAUCUAUACCUAAACCUGGUGGUUUCCCCCAAUUGGGCGCCCAUGGACCCUUUCAACCUGCACCAACACCUGUCGCACCUCUGGCCGGUUGGAUGUCAAACCCUCCAGCAGUAACACAUCCUGCUGUUUCUGGAGGUGCUAUUGGAUUUGGUACUCCUACGAAUCCUGCUGCUAUGUUGAAGCAUCCUAGGACACCCUCGGCUGCUAACCCUUCUAUGGACUAUCCAUCUGGAGAUUCUGAUCAUGUCAGUAAGAGACCCAGGCCAGUUGGGUUGUCUGAGGAGGUGAAUCUUCCGGUGAAUAUGAUGCCAGUAACUUAUCCGCAGAGCCAUAGCUACCCGCAAGAUGAUUUCCAUAAAGCUGUCGCACGGACAUUGAGUCAAGGAUCAGCUCCAAUGAGCAUGGAUUUCCAUCCAGUUCAACAAACUCUUCUUCUUGUUGGUACCAAUGUUGGUGACAUUGGAUUGUGGGAUGUUGGCACCAAGGAGAGACUUGUUGUAAGAAACUUCAAGGUUUGGGAGCUUGGGAAAUGUUCUAUGGCCCUCCAGGCAGCACUGGUUAAGGAUCCUACCGUGUCAGUUAAUCGCAUAAUUUGGAGUCCUGAUGGAACCUUGUUUGGUGUUGCUUAUUCAAGGCAUAUAGUACAGAUUUAUUCUUAUCAUGGUGGCGAUGAUAUUAGGCAACACUUGGAGAUUGAUGCACAUGUUGGUGGCGUAAAUGACAUUGCAUUCGCCCAUCCAAAUAAGCAGCUGUGUAUAAUUACCUGUGGAGACGAUAAGACGAUAAAGGUGUGGGAGGCCACUAGUGGAACAAAACAAUUUACCUUCGAAGGUCAUGAAGCUCCUGUCUAUUCUGUUUGUCCACAUUACAAGGAAAAUAUUCAGUUCAUCUUUUCAACUGCUUUAGAUGGAAAGAUAAAGGCAUGGCUGUAUGAUAAUCUUGGGUCCAGAGUUGACUAUGAUGCACCAGGUCAUUGGUGCACUACGAUGGCAUAUAGUGCGGAUGGUUCAAGAUUGUUUUCUUGCGGGACCAGCAAGGAUGGUGAAUCACACCUGGUGGAAUGGAAUGAGAGUGAAGGUGCGGUGAAGAGAACAUACCAGGGAUUUCGUAAGCGAUCUAUGGGUGUUGUACAAUUCGAUACGACGCGAAAUAGGUUUUUGGCUGCUGGAGAUGAAUUCGUGAUAAAGAUUUGGGACAUGGACAACACUAGUCUUCUGACUACCAUUGAAGCUGAUGGUGGCCUACCUGCAAGCCCGCGUAUCCGCUUUAACAAGGAGGGUACUCUGUUGGCAGUCUCUACUGUUGAUAAUGGUAUCAAAGUCUUAGCAAAUGCUGAUGGUGUUCGUUUAUUGCGCACACUGGAAAAUCGUUCUUUUGAUGCUUCACGUAGUGCAUCUGAGACUGUAACAAAGCCUCUAAUAAACCCAUUGACUGCUGCUGCUGCGGCAGCCGCCGCCGCUGCCGCCGCUGCAACCAGUUCUGGAACUGCUGCUCCAUCACCUAUAACUGCAAUGAACGGGGACAACAGAAGCAUGGUUGAUGUAAAACCUAGAAUAGCUGAUGAGUCAAUGGAUAAGUCAAAGGUCUGGAAGCUUAUGGAGAUAACUGAUACAGCUCAGUGCAGAUCAUUAAAACUAGGUGAUAGUAUUAGGACAGCUAAGAUCUCGAGACUGAUCUACACAAAUUCAGGUGUUGCUAUCUUGGCUUUAGCUUCAAAUGCCGUCCAUCUACUGUGGAAAUGGCCACGUAAUGAACGAAAUUCAACUGGAAAGGCUACUGCUAGUGUUUCUCCUCAAUUAUGGCAACCUCCAAGUGGCAUUCUCAUGACUAAUGACACAAUUGACAAUAGUCCUGAUGAGGCCGUUCACUGCUUUGCUUUGUCAAAGAAUGAUUCAUAUGUCAUGUCAGCUUCAGGAGGGAAAAUCUCUCUAUUCAACAUGAUGACUUUUAAGACGAUGACGACGUUUAUGCCUCCGCCACCAGCAGCUACUUUCCUCGCAUUCCAUCCUCAAGAUAACAACAUAAUUGCAAUUGGAAUGGAUGAUUCAACCAUCCAAAUUUACAACGUUCGGAUUGAUGAGGUCAAAAGUAAACUUAGAGGGCACUCUAAGAAAAUUACAGGUCUUGCCUUUUCAAAUGUGUUAAAUGUUUUGGUAUCCUCUGGAGCUGAUGCACAGAUAUGUGUUUGGAACACUGAUGGGUGGGAGAGGCAAAGGAGCAGAUUUUUGCAGAUACCAUCUGGUCGCCCAACGUCCAACAUCUUAGACACACGAGUUCAGUUCCACCAAGAUCAACAGCAUUGUCUUGUUGUCCAUGAGACCCAGAUUGCCAUCUAUGAUGCCUCAAAAUUAGAACCCGUGAAGCAGUGGCCUCCUCGGGAGACAUCUGCUCCUCCAAUAACGCAUGCUACAUUCUCAUGUGAUAGUCAACUGAUUUAUGCAAGCUUUCUAGAUGCCACUGUCUGCAUAUUUAGCGCAUCAAGUUUGAGACUUCAAUGCCGAAUUCUUCCAGCUUCUUAUCUUCCUCAAAAUAUCAGUUCAAAUGUUCAUCCAGUUGUGGUUGCGGCACAUCCUUCGGAAGCAAAUCAGUUUGCUCUAGGCCUUACCGAUGGCAGCGUUUAUGUCAUGGAACCGUUGGAAUCUGAGAGAAAGUGGGGAAUUCCUCCACCAGCGGAGAAUGGAUCGACGAGCAACAUGUCCACACCUCCUAAUGGAGCUUCGAGUUCUGAUCAACCAGAAAGAUAA